CAGCAGCCGCGGUAAGACAGAGGAUGCAAGCGUUAUCCGGAAUGAUUGGGCGUAAAGCGUCUGUAGGUGGCUUUUUAAGUCCGCCGUCAAAUCCCAGGGCUCAACCCUGGACAGGCGGUGGAAACUACCAAGCUGGAGUACGGUAGGGGCAGAGGGAAUUUCCGGUGUAGCAGUUAAAUGCGUAGAGAUCGGAAGGAACAUCUGUGGCGAAGGCGACUAUCUGGGCCAACACUGACACUGAGGCACGAAAGCGUGGGGAGCAAACAGGAUUAGAUACCCCCGUAGUCCCUGUCUCUUAUAC
This 301-nucleotide ribosomal RNA is filed under the name uncultured bacterium. RNAcentral describes it as "partial 16S ribosomal RNA". It matches the Rfam family "Bacterial small subunit ribosomal RNA", at positions 509 to 807 of the family's 1533-position model. The record is from RNAcentral.